AUUGGACAAUGGGCGCAAGCCUGAUCCAGCCAUGCCGCGUGAGUGAUGAAGGCCCUAGGGUUGUAAAGCUCUUUCACCGGUGAAGAUAAUGACGGUAACCGGAGAAGAAGCCCCGGCUAACUUCGUGCCA
RNAcentral lists this ribosomal RNA (130 nucleotides) under uncultured Hyphomicrobiales bacterium. RNAcentral describes it as "uncultured Rhizobiales bacterium partial 16S ribosomal RNA". It matches the Rfam family "Bacterial small subunit ribosomal RNA", at positions 363 to 510 of the family's 1533-position model. Lineage: Bacteria; Pseudomonadati; Pseudomonadota; Alphaproteobacteria; Hyphomicrobiales. The record is from RNAcentral.